CGUAUUUCAACCAUCCUCCCUCACACUGCACGAUGACAAGUGAAGUUUUUUUAGGCUCGCAGUGAGGUAGCUACAGGCUUCAAGAAACAUGAGGGUAGUGGCGGAUGUAGUAAGUACUGGUGUAUAGGUGUGAACUGGUGGAUAAGGUGUUGUGCAAAAAGAGACAGGGCAAAAGAAAGAAUAGAACAAAAGGGAAAAAAGACGACAAGAGACAAAAAGCAGAGAAAA
Long non-coding RNA from Spea bombifrons (plains spadefoot toad), 228 nucleotides. RefSeq lists it as uncharacterized. The transcript is spliced from 2 exons. The record is from RefSeq and is a predicted model, not a curated record. NCBI's taxonomy places the organism in Eukaryota, Metazoa, Chordata, Amphibia, Anura, Pelobatidae.